UACCCGUGUAGUCCCAGCCGUAAACAAUGUGCGUUAGGUGUGUCGGUAAACCACGCGUUUACUGAUGCGCCCGAAGAGAAAUCGUGAAACGCACCACCUGGGAAGUACGGUCGCAAGGCUGAAACUUAAAGGAAUUGGCGGGGAGCACCACAACAGGUGGAGCCUGCGGUUUAAUUGGAUUCAACGCCGGACAUCUCACCGGAUAAGACAGCUGAAUGAUUGUCAAUCUGAAGGUUUUACAUGACUAGCUG
Molecule: ribosomal RNA, 251 nt
Filed under: uncultured archaeon
Lineage: Archaea
Description: partial 16S ribosomal RNA
Rfam family: Archaeal small subunit ribosomal RNA
Source: RNAcentral